AAUGACCCUAGAGACAGACAUAGUCAAAAUGAAAACAUAAAUUCCAAUUUUGUGUCAAUUAUUUUCAAACUAUGUUCCCUCUGGUUUAAAUAAUCUGAUAAGUUGUAAAACAGUUUUCAUAAGUAGGACAGCACCAGUCAUUAUUUUUUCACUGACUGCUCCUGGUCCUAUUGUUUAGGAAGCAAGUCAUUGAUAUAAAAGGCCACUUCUAUGACUUAUUUUUCUGUUUGGUUGGGCUGCCAUGGAAACCGGAAGCAUGUAUUCAAGCCUUUGUUAACAGGAAAGACAUUUUUCAUGCAGUCUUCCUAUUUCAGGCACCGAUAAUACGCUGUCAUGUGUACAGUAACAUUCAAGAUGGAACUGGAGGAGCAGGGAACAUAGAGUGAUGGGGAAGAAAAGAGGGAAUCCCGAGCAGAGAAAACUGGGAAAAGAACUAGAGGGAAUGUAAAUGGAAAGGCUAGAGCUACAGAGGCAUCUCGAUCUAUGAGAAAAAGGCCACGAGAAUCAUAGGGGCCUCA
This is a long non-coding RNA of Homo sapiens (human), 518 nucleotides long. RefSeq lists it as uncharacterized. The record is from RefSeq and is a predicted model, not a curated record. The transcript has 3 exons. NCBI's taxonomy places the organism in Eukaryota, Metazoa, Chordata, Mammalia, Primates, Hominidae.